This 517-nucleotide ribosomal RNA is filed under the name uncultured bacterium. RNAcentral's name for it is "bacterial SSU rRNA". It matches the Rfam family "Archaeal small subunit ribosomal RNA", at positions 345 to 866 of the family's 1478-position model. The record is from RNAcentral.
AAACUUCACAAUGGAGGCAACUCCGAUGAGGGAAUUCCAAGUGCUAGCACAUUAGUGUUAGCUUUUCUUAAGCAUAGAUAACUUAAGGAAUAAGGGCUGGGUAAGACGGGUGCCAGCCGCCGCGGUAAUACCCGCAGCCCAAGUGGUGGUCGAUUUUAUUGAGUCUAAAACGUUCGUAGCCGGUUCAUUAAAUCCUUGGGUAAAUCGGAUGGCUUAACUACCCGAAUUCCGGGGAGACUGGUGAACUUGGGACCGGGAGAGGCAAGAGGUACUUUUGGGGUAGGGGUAAAUCCUGUAAUCCUAAAGGACCACCGGUGGCGAAGGCGUCUUGCUAGAACGGAUCCGACGGUGAGGGACGAAGCCCUGGGUCGCAAACGGGAUUAGAUACCCCGGUAGUCCAGGGUGUAAACGCUGCAGACUUGGUGUUGGGGACCCUUCGGGGGUGUUCAGUGCCGGAGAGAAGUUGUUAAGUCUGCUACUUGGGGAGUACGUCCGCAAGGAUGAAACUUAAGGAAUU